AGAAAAGGAGAGAAGAGUAAGGAAUUCAUGAAAACCUAACCCUAACUUCAGCCAUAACAUCAAGUACACCUUAAAUUAAAGUUUGGAUCAAGAAAAGGAGAAAUUUGGUACUUAUGGACAAGAAGGUAAUACGACGGACAAGCCUGGAACUUCACGGGUUUGGACUCGGUGAAUUGAGAUACAAAGAGUUGCAUUGAGUCGACAUUUGCAUCUGAUAGAGGUUUCGGGUGGGCCAAUGGAGAGUUCAUUGCACGUGCAUAUUUUAAAGUGUUUAUGUGUAUAAGAUAGAUGACAAAACUUUUGUACUAAGAGUUAUUGUAUAAAGUUAUGUAUAAGUGUUUGAUGUGAGAUAGUUUGAAUAUUACGGUUAUGCGAUAAGUUAAAACUUUUGUG
Molecule: long non-coding RNA, 393 nt
Organism: Mercurialis annua (annual mercury)
Lineage: Eukaryota; Viridiplantae; Streptophyta; Magnoliopsida; Malpighiales; Euphorbiaceae
Exons: 3
Source: RefSeq, a predicted model, not a curated record